GAUGAACGCUGGCGGCGUGCUUAACACAUGCAAGUCGAACGAAGCACUUUAUUUGAUUUCCUUCGGGACUGAUUAUUUUGUGACUGAGUGGCGGACGGGUGAGUAACGCGUGGGUAACCUGCCUUGUACAGGGGGAUAACAGUUGGAAACGGCUGCUAAUACCGCAUAAGCGCACGGCAUCGCAUGAUGCAGUGUGAAAAACUCCGGUGGUAUAAGAUGGACCCGCGUUGGAUUAGCUAGUUGGUGAGGUAACGGCCCACCAAGGCGACGAUCCAUAGCCGACCGGAGAGGGUGACCGGCCACAUUGGGACUGAGACACGGCCCAAACUCCUACGGGAGGGAGCAGUGGGGAAUAUUGCACAAUGGGCGAAAGCCUGAUGCAGCGACGCCGCGUGAGCGAAGAAGUAUUUCGGUAUGUAAAGCUCUAUCAGCAGGGAAGAUAAUGACGGUACCUGACUAAGAAGCACCGGCUAAAUACGUG
This 481-nucleotide ribosomal RNA is filed under the name uncultured bacterium. Its description in RNAcentral is "partial 16S ribosomal RNA". It matches the Rfam family "Bacterial small subunit ribosomal RNA", at positions 28 to 507 of the family's 1533-position model. The record is from RNAcentral.